Molecule: non-coding RNA, 28 nt
Filed under: Homo sapiens (human)
Lineage: Eukaryota; Metazoa; Chordata; Mammalia; Primates; Hominidae
Source: RNAcentral
GAGGGCUUUGUAGAGUUAUUAAAUUGGC